GACGAACGCUGGCGGCGUGCUUAACACAUGCAAGUCGAACGGAAAGGCCUUUUCGGAGGUACUCGAGUGGCGAACGGGUGAGUAACACGUGGGUGAUCUGCCCUGCACUCUGGGAUAAGCUCGGGAAACUGGGUCUAAUACCGGAUAGGACCGCACUCUAGUGUGUGUGGUGGAAAGAUUUUUCGGUGUAGGAUGUGCCCGCGGCCUAUCAGCUUGUUGGUGGGGUAUUGGCCUACCAAGGCGGCGACGGGUAGCCGGACUGAGAGGUUGGUCGGCCACAUUGGGACUGAGAUACGGCCCAGACUCCUACGGGAGGCAGCAGUGGGGAAUAUUGCACAAUGGGCGCAAGCCUGAUGCAGCGACGCCGCGUGGGGGAUGACGGCCUUCGGGUUGUAAACUCCUUUCGCCAGGGACGAAGCGUUUUGUGACGGUACCUGGAGAAGAAGCACCGGCUAACUACGUG
Molecule: ribosomal RNA, 463 nt
Filed under: uncultured bacterium
Lineage: Bacteria
Description: partial 16S ribosomal RNA
Rfam family: Bacterial small subunit ribosomal RNA
Source: RNAcentral